Solanum pennellii is the source of this 583-nucleotide long non-coding RNA. RefSeq lists it as uncharacterized. The transcript has 2 exons. Lineage: Eukaryota; Viridiplantae; Streptophyta; Magnoliopsida; Solanales; Solanaceae. The record is from RefSeq and is a predicted model, not a curated record.
UUUGAAAACCCACUUUUGCAUGCACCGAAAACAUAAAUUUGAACACGGUUCUCUUUUCUUUAUAUCAAUGAUCUUUAUGACAUUUAUUUUAAUAAUAUAUAUAUUAAUUCAUAUAGUCUAAGUCAAGUAGCAAAUUCUUAGCCUUUUGAUUCUUUAUAUCAUAGUGGGGUAGGCGGAAUAGUGUUUUUGUUAUUUUUCAUUCGAUGUUUGAGCCUAUAUUGAAAUUUCGAUUAAAAUUGGAUUGCGCUUUGCAGGGUUUAUUCAGGGAUGGACUCCCAACGAAAUUUUUUUCAUAUCCAGGGCUCAAACCCAAGAACUAUGAAGAAGGGUGAAACACUCUCGCUAGUACACCACAAACCAUGAUGGUGGAUUUAUUCAGGGGUCGGCUCCCAACAUGAUUUUCUCCAUACUCAAGACUCGAACCCGAGAACUUUAAUUAAGGGUGAAACACUCUCAUCAACCAUAACCCAUGAUGGUGAUAGGCGGAAUAGUGUUAAAUGUAUUCUUUUAACAUCUUUCGACUUGAAUUAAGUGUAAAAUUAACUUUUUUCAAAAAAUAAAAUAAAAUGUAUGAGUUAUACUA